Molecule: transfer RNA, 66 nt
Filed under: Mesacturoides brevisquamatus
Lineage: Eukaryota; Metazoa; Arthropoda; Malacostraca; Stomatopoda; Takuidae
Description: tRNA-Asn
Source: RNAcentral
UUAACCAAAACCAAAAAGAGGUAUAUUAUUGUUAAUAAUAGAAUUGAAAGCUAGUUUCUGGUUAAG